GACGAACGCUGGCGGCGUGCUUAACACAUGCAAGUCGAACGGAAAGGCCCUGCUUUUGUGGGGUGCUCGAGUGGCGAACGGGUGAGUAACACGUGAGUAACCUGCCCUUGACUUUGGGAUAACUUCAGGAAACUGGGGCUAAUACCGGAUAGGAGCUCCUGCUGCAUGGUGGGGGUUGGAAAGUUUCGGCGGUUGGGGAUGGACUCGCGGCUUAUCAGCUUGUUGGUAGGGUAGUGGCUUACCAAGGCUUUGACGGGUAGCCGGCCUGAGAGGGUGACCGGCCACAUUGGGACUGAGAUACGGCCCAGACUCCUACGGGAGGCAGCAGUGGGGAAUAUUGCACAAUGGGCGGAAGCCUGAUGCAGCAACGCCGCGUGCGGGAUGACGGCCUUCGGGUUGUAAACCGCUUUCGCCUGUGACGAAGCGUGAGUGACGGUAAUGGGUAAAGAAGCACCGGCUAACUACGUG
This 468-nucleotide ribosomal RNA is filed under the name uncultured bacterium. RNAcentral's name for it is "partial 16S ribosomal RNA". It matches the Rfam family "Bacterial small subunit ribosomal RNA", at positions 28 to 507 of the family's 1533-position model. The record is from RNAcentral.